This 483-nucleotide ribosomal RNA is filed under the name uncultured bacterium. RNAcentral's name for it is "partial 16S ribosomal RNA". It matches the Rfam family "Bacterial small subunit ribosomal RNA", at positions 28 to 506 of the family's 1533-position model. The record is from RNAcentral.
AUUGAACGCUGGCGGCAUGCUUUACACAUGCAAGUCGAACGGCAGCGCGGGCUUCGGCCUGGCGGCGAGUGGCGAACGGGUGAGUAAUGCAUCGGAACGUGCCCAGUAGUGGGGGAUAGCCCGGCGAAAGCCGGAUUAAUACCGCAUACGACCUGAGGGUGAAAGCGGGGGACCGAAAGGCCUCGCGCUAUUGGAGCGGCCGAUGUCGGAUUAGCUAGUUGGUGGGGUAAAGGCUUACCAAGGCGACGAUCCGUAGCUGGUCUGAGAGGACGACCAGCCACACUGGGACUGAGACACGGCCCAGACUCCUACGGGAGGCAGCAGUGGGGAAUUUUGGACAAUGGGGGCAACCCUGAUCCGGCCAUGCCGCGUGCGGGAAGAAGGCCUUCGGGUUGUAAACCGCUUUUGUUCGGGAAGAAAUCCUCUGGGCUAAUACCCCGGGGGGAGGACGGUACCGGAAGAAUAAGCACCGGCUAACUACGU